GGCGUGGAUAAGACAUGCAAGUCGAACGCUACUUAUUUUGUUAGCAAUAACGAAGUAAGUGGAGUGGCGAAAGGGUGCGUAACACGUGGGAAUUUACCAAGAAGUGGGGAAUAGCUCGACGAAAGUCGAAUUAAUACCGCAUACGAUCGAGAGAUCAAAGCCGGGGACCGCAAGGCCUGGCGCUUUUUGAGAAGCCCGCGGCCCAUCAGCUAGUUGGCGAGGUAGAAGCUCACCAAGGCUAUGACGGGUAGCUGGUCUGAGAGGACGACCAGCCACACUGGAAGUGAGACACGGUCCAGACACCUACGGGUGGCAGCAGUCGAGAAUUUUUCACAAUGGACGAAAGUCUGAUGGAGAGACGCCGCGUGGAGGAUGAAGGUUUUCGGAUUGUAAAAUCGGGUCACUGCAGAACAAGGCUGUGCGUAUGAAUAGUA
Molecule: ribosomal RNA, 434 nt
Filed under: uncultured bacterium
Lineage: Bacteria
Description: bacterial SSU rRNA
Rfam family: Bacterial small subunit ribosomal RNA
Source: RNAcentral